This 64-nucleotide transfer RNA is filed under the name Notocrater youngi. RNAcentral describes it as "tRNA-Ser". Lineage: Eukaryota; Metazoa; Mollusca; Gastropoda; Lepetellida; Pseudococculinidae. The record is from RNAcentral.
AACUAUAGCCGGGCUAUUUUUGUCUUGAAAACAAAAUACAAGUGUUCGACUCACUUAAUAGUUU